Molecule: long non-coding RNA, 1592 nt
Organism: Sinocyclocheilus grahami
Lineage: Eukaryota; Metazoa; Chordata; Actinopteri; Cypriniformes; Cyprinidae
Source: Ensembl
UGACGAACGAAAGACAAUGGAGAAGGUCAUGCUCUUUUGUGUUUUUUCCUACCUGAUUGUUCAGAUCACUUCGAACGAUGUUUCAGAACAUGACGUGAGUCUGUUAAGAUUCCGGCUGAAUGAAAGCAUCUCUCUGAACUGCAGCAUGAUCGACACAUACGAAAUAGCCUGGUAUCACCAGAAUCCUGAGUCUGGACAACUAACACUACUGAUAUUUGCCAUGGGCCGCACAAAAGAGCUGUAUAGAAUUGAUCAAAACAGUCGCGUGAGAGUUAAAGUAGAUAUGUGGAGCAAAACAAUCUCACUACUUAUUUCUGGACUGACAGAGUCAGAUUCAGGUCUUUAUUUCUGUGGAACAAAAUCAAAUCCAGUUUUAGAAAUGCACUUUGAAAACCCCAUCAGAAUACAGAUCGAGGGUUAGUUCUGCUGACUUUUCAAUUCAUCCCAAAUUUUCAGACUGUUUUUAAUGCUGAGAAUUAUGUGACUGUUUCUCAAUUUAUUUCAAUCAUUACUAGUACUACACUCAAAAAAAGUACACUUUUUUUCCUCUGCAAUGCUACAGAAGAACCCCUUUUGUUUCCACAAAGAACCUUUUAGUGAUCAGUUCUUAAACAAAGCAGUGUGAAGAACAUUUGAAUCAUCUUUAGAACUAUUUUCCACUCUAAAGAAUCUUUUGUGCAAUGGAAAGAUUCCGUGGAUGUUAAAGGUUCUUUUUUAUGCAGUGCUUGUGCUCCAGAUUCCUGAAAUCAUGAGUGUUGUUGAGGAGUGAUCGUAUAUCUAAAGUGAUCAUAUGUUUCAAAUAUUUUCAGACAAGCUGACAGACAGAGAGGACGAAGCUCAUGCUGAUGUUGAGAUCACAGGUGAGAGCAGAAAUCAUUCUUGUUGGUGUCUUUAGUUUAUUUCAGGAACUCUUCAAGUGCAAUUUUAUCAGAGUUCAAACCCAGCACAGCCAAUCAGAAUCUGUGUUACUUUAUUCUGUUGUUUACUGAAUGUUUUCUGUCUGUCUGCAGAUGGGGUGACGCUGACGGAGCGUGUGAUUAUAUUCGGUGGUGUUGGUCUGGCUGUGCUGGUGUUUUUUCUGGCUAUAAUCAUUGCACGAAGAAACAUUUACUAUCACGGUUGGCAGAAAGGAUGGAUCGCAGCCGAACAUGCUGGUCUGACUGUUCAAAAUUCACCUAAAUGACACAUUUGUGAGGUUUAUUAUCAUGAUAAUCAGCAUUUUUGUACGUUACACCAGCGGUGGCUCACCGAUGUGAUUCAGAUGUGUUUCCGUCGGCCAGAUCUCACUUAGACGUCAGUUGUGGCAAAGCUCUGGAGGAGGAUUAACAUGUAGCUACACAUAAUCUGAGUUCAUGAGAAAGUAUAAAUGUCAUCUGUUUUAUGGCACAAACUUGUUCAAAUAAAAUGUCUUCAGUGUUAAAUGUGUCGUUGAGAGUUCUGAUCACAUAAACAGCAGUAAAACUAAGAAAUCACGUGUCACGGUCGUAUUUUCGAUGGAAGAAUUAUAGAAACGAUCAUUCUUUCUAAAUGUGAUGUAGACCUAAACAUACUGUCUGUGACUACAAAUAAACAGAAACAGAUGCGAAUGAAUA